AACCCACGAGAAUCGGUUUCCCAAACCGAUCGCCGUACUACGCCGGAAGUCCCGUAAUCGCACCGACACUCCGCCGGGACCCACGGACUGUCCCGAAACUCACCGACUUGUACCACGAGUCACCCGCUGCCACUAAAUACAAAUUUACGUGUGACUUGGCAGCAAAGACCUUAACUCACUCCAAAACGAUUGUCGUCGGAUAAUCGUUCCGAUCCGGGUUCCCGGAAGCAUCGAUUUCGACACCGGAACCCACCGUCGCUCAUCCGUCGUUUCCGAACCCUCGAAAUA
RNAcentral lists this long non-coding RNA (288 nucleotides) under Ananas comosus (pineapple). RNAcentral's name for it is "long non-coding RNA (ACOM_LNC035191)". The record is from RNAcentral. Lineage: Eukaryota; Viridiplantae; Streptophyta; Magnoliopsida; Poales; Bromeliaceae.